GCAGACACAUUCCAGCCAAUCAGCAGCAGACCCUCCCUCCCAGACCCUACCACCUCCUGGACAGCUCACUAAGAAUGCAGCUUCACAAUGAAUGUAAAAUGGAUGCUGUCCAGGAGGUGGGAGGGUCUUGGAGGGAGGGUCUGCUGCUGAUUGGCUGUAAUGUGUCUG
Molecule: microRNA precursor, 168 nt
Filed under: Pelobates cultripes (western spadefoot toad)
Lineage: Eukaryota; Metazoa; Chordata; Amphibia; Anura; Pelobatidae
Source: RNAcentral